This 64-nucleotide transfer RNA is filed under the name Geoscapheus dilatatus. RNAcentral describes it as "tRNA-Thr". The record is from RNAcentral. Lineage: Eukaryota; Metazoa; Arthropoda; Insecta; Blattodea; Blaberidae.
GUUUCAAUAUUUUAUUAUUAAAUUAUUGGUCUUGUAAACCAAAAAUAAGAAACCUUUUAAAACU